Long non-coding RNA from Myxocyprinus asiaticus (Chinese sucker), 280 nucleotides. RefSeq lists it as uncharacterized. NCBI's taxonomy places the organism in Eukaryota, Metazoa, Chordata, Actinopteri, Cypriniformes, Catostomidae. The transcript is spliced from 3 exons. The record is from RefSeq and is a predicted model, not a curated record.
GGUAAAUCAGGGUGUUUUGGGGUAGAUCAGGGUUAUUGUGAGGUAACUCAGUGUGUUUGGGGGUAGAUCAGGGUUAUUGUGAGGUAACUCAGGGUGUUUUGGGGUAGAUCAGGGUUAUUGUGAGGUAAAUCAUGGUGUUUUGGCAUAAAUCAGGGUUAUUGUGAGGUAACUCAGGGUGUUUUGGGGAAGAUCUGGGUUAAUGUGAGGUAAAUCAGGGUGUUUUGGAGUAGAUCAGGGUUAUUGUGAGGUAAAUCAGGGUGUUUUGGGGUAUAUCAGGGUU